GACGAACGCUGGCGGCGUGCUUAACACAUGCAAGUCGAACGGUGAAAGCGGAGCUUGCUCCGCUGGAUCAGUGGCGAACGGGUGAGUAACACGUGGGCAACCUGCCCCUCACUUCGGGAUAACUCCGGGAAACCGGGGCUAAUACCGGAUAUGACCUCCUUGGGCAUCCUUGGAGGUGGAAAGUUUUUCGGUGAGGGAUGGGCCCGCGGCCUAUCAGCUUGUUGGUGAGGUAGUGGCUCACCAAGGCGACGACGGGUAGCCGGCCUGAGAGGGCGACCGGCCACACUGGGACUGAGACACGGCGCAGACUCCUACGGGAGGCAGCAGUGGGGAAUUUUGGACAAUGGGGGCAACCCUGAGCCAGCAAUGCCGAGUGAGUGAAGAAGGCCUUCGGGUUGUAAAGCUCUUUUGUCAGGGAAGAAACACCGGCUCUAACACAGUCCGGGAAUGACGGUACCUGAAGAAUAAGCACCGGCUAAC
RNAcentral lists this ribosomal RNA (480 nucleotides) under uncultured bacterium. RNAcentral describes it as "partial 16S ribosomal RNA". It matches the Rfam family "Bacterial small subunit ribosomal RNA", at positions 28 to 501 of the family's 1533-position model. The record is from RNAcentral.